RNAcentral lists this unclassified non-coding RNA (520 nucleotides) under uncultured Glomus. RNAcentral describes it as "SSU rRNA". It matches the Rfam family "Eukaryotic small subunit ribosomal RNA", at positions 569 to 1082 of the family's 1831-position model. Lineage: Eukaryota; Fungi; Glomeromycota; Glomeromycetes; Glomerales; Glomeraceae. The record is from RNAcentral.
AGCAGCCGCGGUAAUUCCAGCUCCAAUAGCGUAUAUUAAAGUUGUUGCAGUUAAAAAGCUCGUAGUUGAAUUUCGGGAUUGGCGCAUCGGUCGUGCCUCACGGGGUAUGAACUGGUGCAGUCAAUUUCUCACCUUCUGGAGAACCGCGAUGUCCUUAAUUGGAUGCCGCGGGGAACCAGGACCUUUACUUUGAAAAAAUUAGAGUGUUUAAAGCAGGCAUUUUUGCUUGAAUACAUUAGCAUGGAAUAAUAAAAUAGGACGGCAUGGUUCUAUUUUGUUGGUUUCUAGGACCACCGUAAUGAUUAAUAGGGAUAGUUGGGGGCAUUAGUAUUCAAUUGUCAGAGGUGAAAUUCUUGGAUUUAUUGAAGACUAACUACUGCGAAAGCAUUUGCCAAGGAUGUUUUCAUUAAUCAAGAACGAAAGUUAGGGGAUCGAAGACGAUCAGAUACCGUCGUAGUCUUAACCAUAAACUAUGCCGACUAGGAAUCAGACGAUGUAAUUUUUUUCAAUGACUCGUUUG